UUGGUUGUAGCUGGCAUUUCCUUUAUUUGGGGAUUGCAUGUGCACACCUUCUCUUUCAUCCACACACCCCUGUGCACUUGUGAGACAGAUUGCUUUUUGGAGGGGGAACUUUAUUGGACCCUUUCUUUUUGGCUCUCUGUCUACUUAAUUAAUAUAAACUCAAUUUAUUUUAAAAUGAGUGUAGUGGAUGUAACACAUCUAAUACUAAGUUUCAACAACGGAUCUCUUGGCUCUCGCAUCGAUGAAAAACGCAGCGAAAUGCGAUAAGUAGUGUGAAUUGCAAAAUUCAGUGAAUCAUCAAAUCUUUGAACGCACCUUGCGCUCCUUGGUAUUCCUUGGAGCAUGCCUGUUUGAGUAUCAUGAAAUCUUCAAAGUAAUAUCUUUUGUUAAUUCAAUUGGUUUUGCUUUGGUAUUGGAGGUCUAUUGCAGCUUCACACGUGCUCCUCUUUGUUCAUUAGCUGGAUCUCAGUGUUAUGCUUGGUUCCACUCAGCGUGAUAAGUUAUCUAUCGCUGAAGACACUUUUUCUACUCUGUAAAAAGAGUUUGGGAGGGGUGGCCAAGGUAAAUGCAGAUGAACCGCUUCUAAUAGUCCAUUGACUUGAACAAUCAAUAUUUAUGAUCUGAUCUCAAAUCAGGUAGGACUACCCGCUGAACUUA
This 657-nucleotide ribosomal RNA is filed under the name Rhizoctonia solani. Its description in RNAcentral is "eukaryotic LSU rRNA". The stretch from base 207 to 360 matches the Rfam family "5.8S ribosomal RNA". Lineage: Eukaryota; Fungi; Basidiomycota; Agaricomycetes; Cantharellales; Ceratobasidiaceae. The record is from RNAcentral.